GGUGCUGGGUAUGUGGCUCAGUUGGUAGAGUGUUUGCCUAGCAUGCGAAAGGUCCAGGGUUCAAUCCCCAGUACCACCA
This is a non-coding RNA of Sciurus carolinensis (gray squirrel), 79 nucleotides long. The record is from the annotation of a RefSeq genome assembly. NCBI's taxonomy places the organism in Eukaryota, Metazoa, Chordata, Mammalia, Rodentia, Sciuridae.